This 71-nucleotide transfer RNA is filed under the name Loxodonta africana (African savanna elephant). It matches the Rfam family "tRNA". From Rfam's summary of the family: Transfer RNA (tRNA) molecules are approximately 80 nucleotides in length. Lineage: Eukaryota; Metazoa; Chordata; Mammalia; Proboscidea; Elephantidae. The record is from Rfam by way of RNAcentral.
GCAGUGGUGGUUCAAUGGUAGAAUCCUUGCCUUCCAUGCACAAGACCUGGGUUUGAUUCCCAGCCAAUGCA